UCCUACGGGAGGCAGCAGUGGGGAAUUUUCCGCAAUGGGCGAAAGCCUGACGGAGCAACGCCGCGUGAGGGAUGAAGGCCUCUGGGCUGUAAACCUCUUUUAUCAAGGAAGAAGAUCUGACGGUACUUGAUGAAUAAGCAUCGGCUAACUCCGUGCCAGCAGCCGCGGUAAGACGGAGGAUGCAAGUGUUAUCCGGAAUCACUGGGCGUAAAGCGUCUGUAGGUGGUUUAAUAAGUCAACUGUUAAAUCUUGAGGCUCAACUUCAAAAUCGCAGUCGAAACUAUUAGACUAGAGUAUAGUAGAGGUAAAGGGAAUUUCCAGUGGAGCGGUGAAAUGCGUAGAUAUUGGAAAGAACACCGAUGGCGAAAGCACUUUACUGGGCUAUUACUAACACUCAGAGACGAAAGCUAGGGUAGCAAAUGGGAUUAGAUACCCCAGUAGUCCUAGCCGUAAACAAUGGAUACUAGAUGUUGAACAGAUCGACCUGUGCAGUAUCAAAGCUAACGCGUUAAGUAUCCCGCCUGGGAAGUAUGCUCGCAAGAGUGAAACUCAAAGGAAUUGACGGA
This 566-nucleotide ribosomal RNA is filed under the name uncultured bacterium. RNAcentral describes it as "bacterial SSU rRNA". It matches the Rfam family "Bacterial small subunit ribosomal RNA", at positions 337 to 917 of the family's 1533-position model. The record is from RNAcentral.